RNAcentral lists this ribosomal RNA (253 nucleotides) under uncultured bacterium. Its description in RNAcentral is "partial 16S ribosomal RNA". It matches the Rfam family "Bacterial small subunit ribosomal RNA", at positions 524 to 776 of the family's 1533-position model. The record is from RNAcentral.
UACGUAGGGUGCAAGCGUUGUCCGGAAUUAUUGGGCGUAAAGAGCUCGUAGGCGGUCUGUCACGUCGGGAGUGAAAACUCGGGGCUCAACCCCGAGCCUGCUUCCGAUACGGGCAGACUAGAGGUAUGCAGGGGAGAAUGGAAUUCCUGGUGUAGCGGUGAAAUGCGCAGAUAUCAGGAGGAACACCGGUGGCGAAGGCGGUUCUCUGGGCAUUACCUGACGCUGAGGAGCGAAAGUGUGGGGAGCGAACAGG